Molecule: long non-coding RNA, 821 nt
Filed under: Homo sapiens (human)
Lineage: Eukaryota; Metazoa; Chordata; Mammalia; Primates; Hominidae
Description: HSALNT0293326
Source: RNAcentral
CCUGACUCUCUUUUUGGACCCAGCACACCUGCACCCAGGGGAAAUAAACAGCUUUAUUGCUCACAGAAAGCCUGUUUGGUGGUCUCUUCACACAGACACGAGUGAAAUUUGGUGCUGUGACUUGGAUCGGGGGACCUCCCUUGGGACAUCAAUCCCCUGUCCUCCUGUUCUUUGCUCCGUGAGAAAGAUCCACCUACAACCUCAGGUCCUCAGACUGACCAGCCCAAGAAACGUCUCACCAAUUUCAAGUAUGAUGUUUUGUGAGCAGUUGUAUGAACCCAAAAUGGAGUCAAGAGCUGGACUUAGACAGAUUGGAGCAUAAGAUCACAACUGCUAUGAAGACAUCAAUUAUGGCCAGACAUCCUUUACUAAACGGCAUCCCUCUGACCCUGCACAAUUUUUCAAAUUGUAACAGAACACAAGUCUUCCAAUGCCAGUUUUUUGUUUUUGUAUUUUUCAGAAUAGAAAACAAUGUACUGAGGAAAACAGAAAGUGAAGAAAGUAUAAGGGUCAUCCUAUUGAUAGAUGCAGGAGGCAGAUAAGCGAAGGUCCCCGGAGAAUCUCCGAUCCGCCCAAGUGUUUACAUCAGAUGCUUUUGUGCGGAUAAGGGAACCUGCCUAGGACCUUGUUUCUGAGCGCCCACAAAGGACUGGCGGCCCGCCUGCGCGCUGGGAUAGUUGGUGGAGCCACGGGGAAUUCUCACCUAGUAUAGCAGGGAGGAGCCUGGACUCUUCAGCUGUGUGUGGUAGCCUGGUAUUCAAUCUGGGAGGUGGGAGCCUGUUGGUAGGACCCCUUUCUGUUGGCUGAGAGCUUUCUUAACA